GGAGAGGUGGCCGAGUGGCUGAAGGCGCUCGCCUGCUAAGCGAGUAUGGGGGUGAAACUCCCAUCGCGGGUUCGAAUCCCGCCCUCUCCG
RNAcentral lists this transfer RNA (90 nucleotides) under soil metagenome. It matches the Rfam family "tRNA". Rfam says of the family: Transfer RNA (tRNA) molecules are approximately 80 nucleotides in length. RNAcentral also lists the same sequence under 1 other name. The record is from RNAcentral.